RNAcentral lists this long non-coding RNA (245 nucleotides) under Carica papaya (papaya). RNAcentral describes it as "long non-coding RNA (CPAP_LNC015849)". The record is from RNAcentral. Lineage: Eukaryota; Viridiplantae; Streptophyta; Magnoliopsida; Brassicales; Caricaceae.
AAGGGCUAUGGUUACCAUCAAUUGACAACCGAGAGAGGAGAGGAAGAAGAAAAAGGCAGAGGAGAGUCUGGUGCUACGCACAACGGUGUGCAUGAAAAGAAGAUGAUUUGUACGAAAACGUGUGUUUUACUAUUAUGCGGCUCUCUUCAGCACAAUUCUACCAAAUCUGUGUCAGAUUUGAGGGCGCAAAGUGCUCUACGGUGAAUUUCGGCCAAUCCAUAACGGUGAUUAACAGCGAACGGCGG